GGCAAGUCUGGUGCCAGCAGCCGCGGUAAUUCCAGCUCCAAUAGCGUAUAUUAAAGUUGUUGCAGUUAAAAGCUCGUAGUUGAGAUUUGGGACGGGGCGGUGGUCUGGCUCCGGUCAGUACUGCUGCAGCGCGUUCUUUUUCCGGUCAGGACGGCGUGCCCUUGAGUGGGUGCGACGGGCUGCGGAACGAUUACCUUGAGAAAAAUAGAGUGUUUAAAGCAGGCGAAUGCUUGAAUACCGUAGCAUGGAAUAAUAGAAUAGGACAUGGUUCAUAUUUUGUUGGUUUUCUAGGGCCGAGGGUCGAUGAUGAAUAGGGACGAGUUGGGGUCGAUUAGUAUUCAGUAGUCAGAGGUGAAAUUCUUGGAUUUACUGAAGACUGACUAAUGCGAAAGACAUUUG
Molecule: ribosomal RNA, 399 nt
Filed under: uncultured Rozellomycota
Lineage: Eukaryota; Fungi; Rozellomycota
Description: bacterial SSU rRNA
Rfam family: Eukaryotic small subunit ribosomal RNA
Source: RNAcentral